RNAcentral lists this ribosomal RNA (253 nucleotides) under uncultured bacterium. Its description in RNAcentral is "partial 16S ribosomal RNA". It matches the Rfam family "Bacterial small subunit ribosomal RNA", at positions 524 to 776 of the family's 1533-position model. The record is from RNAcentral.
UACGGGGGGGGUAAGCGUUGUUCGGAAUUACUGGGCGUAAAGGGCUCGUAGGCGGCCAACUAAGUCAUACGUGAAAUCCCUCAGCUUAACUGGGGAACUGCGUGUGAUACUGGAUGGCUUGGAUUUGGGAGAGGGAUGCGGAAUUCCUGGUGUAGCGGUGGAAUGCGCAGAUAUCAGGAGGAACACCGGUGGCGAAGGCGGGUCUCUGGGCAGUAACUGACGCUGAGGAGCGAAAGCGUGGGGAGCGAACAGG